Molecule: ribosomal RNA, 468 nt
Filed under: uncultured bacterium
Lineage: Bacteria
Description: partial 16S ribosomal RNA
Rfam family: Bacterial small subunit ribosomal RNA
Source: RNAcentral
GACGAACGCUGGCGGCGUGCUUAACACAUGCAAGUCGAACGGAAAGGCCCUGCUUGCAGGGUGCUCGAGUGGCGAACGGGUGAGUAACACGUGGGUGAUCUGCCCCUUACUUUGGGAUAAGCCUGGGAAACUGGGUCUAAUACUGGAUAGGACCAUGCUGUAGGUGGUGUGGUGGAAAGAUUAGUUUCGGUAAGGGAUGAGCUCGCGGCCUAUCAGCUUGUUGGUGGGGUAAUGGCCUACCAAGGCGUCGACGGGUAGCCGGCCUGAGAGGGUGGACGGCCACAUUGGGACUGAGAUACGGCCCAGACUCCUACGGGAGGCAGCAGUGGGGAAUAUUGCACAAUGGGCGCAAGCCUGAUGCAGCGACGCCGCGUGGGGGAUGACGGCCUCGGGUUGUAAACUCCUUUCAGCCAUGACGAAGCCCUUGUGGUGACGGUAGUGGUAGAAGAAGCACCGGCUAACUACGUG